CCGUGUCUUAUAUGAAAUUUUUUUAUAAUUAGUAUUUUCAUUGUUGUUAGAUGAUAAAACAUGAUUAAUACUUUAUGCAUGACUUACCUUUUUAAUUUUUUUCAUAAUUUUUUUAAAUAAGACGAAUGG
This 129-nucleotide microRNA precursor is filed under the name Oryza glumipatula. RNAcentral describes it as "MIR812 microRNA precursor family". It matches the Rfam family "MIR812 microRNA precursor family", at positions 38 to 168 of the family's 205-position model. The record is from Rfam by way of RNAcentral. Lineage: Eukaryota; Viridiplantae; Streptophyta; Magnoliopsida; Poales; Poaceae.